This 394-nucleotide long non-coding RNA is filed under the name Capra hircus (goat). RNAcentral describes it as "lncRNA (ENSCHIG00000001573.1)". Lineage: Eukaryota; Metazoa; Chordata; Mammalia; Artiodactyla; Bovidae. The record is from RNAcentral.
CUCUGGAGCACAAGCAUUCCUUCACUGUGGACACAAGGUGGUCCCCCCGUGGUGCUCAGUCUGGCGAGUCCAUGAAGUCAGAAAGGAGAGCCAUCAGCGAGGCAGUAUCAAGAGCAAAACAGAAGACACAGAAGUAGCAUCGGAGUGCGGGACGCAGCAGAGGAGAGGGCUACCCUGCAGGCGGCAGUGGUCUCAGCAGGAAGAAGGAGACUUGGAAGGUAGAACUGAGGACCCAGAGGAUGUAGCGGCUGGAAGAGGGCUCUGCACACCUUUCCUGUGCUACCGCGGUGGCCCUGGCAUCCUCAUAAGACAGACCACAUACAUGUUUAAGGAUAUAAGACUCAAAGGAAGAGCCCCCUACGACAACCCAGGAAAUGUUGCUUCCUGCUCUUGA